GGGGGACCUUCGGGCCUCUUGCCAUCGGAUGUGCCCAGAUGGGAUUAGCUAGUAGGUGGGGUAACGGCUCACCUAGGCGACGAUCCCUAGCUGGUCUGAGAGGAUGACCAGCCACACUGGAACUGAGACACGGUCCAGACUCCUACGGGAGGCAGCAGUGGGGAAUAUUGCACAAUGGGCGCAAGCCUGAUGCAGCCAUGCCGCGUGUAUGAAGAAGGCCUUCGGGUUGUAAAGUACUUUCAGCGGGGAGGAAGGGAGUAAAGUUAAUACCUUUGCUCAUUGACGUUACCCGCAGAAGAAGCACCGGCUAACUCCGUGCCAGCAGCCGCGGUAUUACGGAGGGUGCAAGCGUUAAUCGGAGGUGGUGGGCGUAAACCGCCCGCCGGCGGUUUGUUAAGUCAGAAAAAAAAUCCCCCCUUACUUAA
Molecule: ribosomal RNA, 425 nt
Filed under: Escherichia coli
Lineage: Bacteria; Pseudomonadati; Pseudomonadota; Gammaproteobacteria; Enterobacterales; Enterobacteriaceae
Description: bacterial SSU rRNA
Rfam family: Bacterial small subunit ribosomal RNA
Source: RNAcentral